GGCGGCUGCUCGCAGCGGGCUGGGCUGGAAGUUACCAGUAUCAGGGUAGUCGGCAAAUGAAGCAAAAAUGCCCCGCGGGAGCCCCGGCCGCGCUAGGCGAGGCGGGCUCGGCAGCCCCCCGGGGCCGCGGAGCGCCUCUGUCCCGACUCUCUCAGGGGGCGAAGGCUGCGGAUGUCGCGUCUGUCUGAGUUAUUACUGCUGCCGGCGCAUCAUAGACACUGGAUGAUCAAUGAAUCUUCAGGCUUCUAGGAAUAUUUGCAAGAGGAGGAGGAAUACCGUGAACAUGAGGACGUGCGAAAGAUGGUGAUGCUUGCAACCUAUGGCUGAACUGGAGGUAAUUUAUGGGUGGAUCAAUAACAUGCUAAGGUUCUUGAAAGACUAUUAAACAGUAGAAGCGUGAUUUGCGAUUAAAUAAUUUAAAUUGUGUAUUUAUCUUGUAUUAACUUUAAGUAAUGAUUAUACCUCAGAUCAGAAGAUUUGUUCAUCGUUACUUACUGCUUAGAGUCGGGCACAAAAACAAAGCUAAUAUCCGGCCUUGGUCAAACUGAUCUCUAUAAAAUACUGUUUUCUCUAUCAGAUUUAAAUAAAUGAUAAAUAAUGAUCGGCCUUUAUGAUCUUUCAUGCAUCUGUGCUUUUCAGAUCGAGUUUGGGCCUUGUAAAAAUUAACACAGUUGUAGACAAUGAAAAUGACGUUCAGCAGCAAUGGAUGUAAACAAGCAAAAUUGUCAUUUCUUAAACACGCUGAUUAAUGUUACCCCUCAGAAAGCACAUUUAAAAUUAAAAGGAUAUAAAAAUUAGAAUGAAAAAAGUCUUUCGUAAUCAGAGAACUUGGAGCUUUCCACGGGUGAAAGCUUUUAAAAAUUUCAAAUUAAACCAUAUUUAUGUGAAACUGACACAAGGGGCUUUAGAGGUGGAGUUUUAUAUGUCAGUCUCCAAGGCCCACAAGCCAAACGUUUGGAAGCCUAGAAUCUUACCUACCCCCUGCUGCUUUGUGCUUAAUGUGGUGAGAAGGCUUGCUGCAACCACCCUUUAGUUUUAUUAUAUGAAUAUCUGUGAGAGAAAGGAAGUUAAUAUGUCUGUGAAAAUAUAUAUAGAAAUACUUAAAUGGGCAACUGAGUAUCUAUUCUACUUAUUAUUAUUGCUUAUGUGGGUUUUUCAUGUCCUAAAAGUACUAAAAUUGUAACCUGUAUAUUACUGUAAAGUAUAAUUAUGAAGUAAGCUAAUAAUUCUUUAUUGUAUAUUUACUUCUCUACAUAUUGAAAAUAAAGGUAUUGUAACAAGUCUGAUCAGUUUUUCUGUAACUCCGGUCAUCUGUUUUCUUCCAAAUAUCUGUAUCUCCCUUUUACCAUUUUCCUAGGACAGUAACUGGCCUACAUUUUAACCUCUGUCUCUUAAUCAGCGCUUCAAAUAAUUGUCAUGAUGGUGUAAUCACACUUAUUAUCAAAUAAAUAUUUUUUUAAUGAUUUGAGUUUUCUUUUUUAGAAAUGCAAAAUAUAUAUUGUAAUUCUAAUGGUAAGUGGUGUUAAGAACGAAGGAUUACGUGAGUAUUAUGAUUAACAUUUUCUAAUUAUUCCAGGAUGUCUGUAUAUAGUGAAGUAUACCUUGUGUAUGAUAUUGCUGUACCUAUAUAUCAGAACCUUAAUACUUGGAUUCUGAGAGAGUUUUUAUGAUGAUGGAAGGAAAACGAUGUUCCUGUUUUUGACAACUUAUGUAAUAACUUUUCUGAUGCAGUUCAGAGAACCAAAAUUUUCUUAUUGCUAUUAUCAAAAUUCCAAGGAUUCAAUCUGAUAAACACAAGAUCAAUUUGUGCUAUUGUAUUUUAAAAUUCUUACUGCAGAUUCAGUAAGAUAAGUGGGGGGAAGGGAUAGUUGGGUUGGCUUAUUUUUUUAUUUAAACACAUGUAAAUCACACUUCAUGAGAAGAUUUGAAAUUAUUUCUGUUUGCUGAUGCCUGUUGGAAUGAGUUUUAAGAAAUCGUGCUGUGGUAAUAAACAUUCCAUUAACUUAUUUUCAAAGAUAAUUUUGCAGUGCAUUCUCCUUAAACUCACUGAGAAUUUUUUUUAUUUUCUAUGCAGGAAAAAAAAUCCCUAUAUCUGUAUUUUCACAUUGUGGUUUACUUGCAAAAUAAAAAGGACUAUUUCAAAGUA
Molecule: long non-coding RNA, 2146 nt
Organism: Malaclemys terrapin pileata
Lineage: Eukaryota; Metazoa; Chordata; Testudines; Emydidae
Exons: 2
Source: RefSeq, a predicted model, not a curated record